AAGAGAUUUAAAUAUUAAUUAGAGGAAUUGGAAUAAAGGAAAUCAAAGGAAACUAAAUAAUAUUGGAAGACCGAGAUCUAUAAUUUCGUUUCCGAAAUAUGUAAACGAGUGCGUAUAGAUAUUAAACUUGGUCCCACCA
This is a long non-coding RNA of Eufriesea mexicana, 139 nucleotides long. RefSeq lists it as uncharacterized. NCBI's taxonomy places the organism in Eukaryota, Metazoa, Arthropoda, Insecta, Hymenoptera, Apidae. The record is from RefSeq and is a predicted model, not a curated record. The transcript is spliced from 2 exons.